UGAAAACUAUAAAUAAACAACUGCCCAAUCAUUUUUUCAAGUAAAUUUGUCCGGUCAUUUGUGCACACCUCUGAACCCAGAAUUUUAUCAUGCAAGAAACACAGAUGGGUUGGCUACUCUAAUAUAUAUUGGUCUUGGGGUUUGGGUAUGCAGCAUGUUUCCGAUCUGAUUCCAUUAAAUUACCUUCACAUCACCAUUGUGAGGUCAGGCCUGUACUGGUGAAAUAGGCUAUACUAGCAGAUCAAGUAGUUGUCUUCCGUCAAGGUAUGUUCUUGCACUCUUUGGAUUUGUUUGUUUCCUCGGAAAAUAAGCUUGACUUUCCUUCUCCUCAGGCUAAUCCGGGUGCCCCAAGGAUCUUUCCUUGGUUACCAUUUGAAGUUUUCUUCGUUGCUUCCGUGUUUUUUACCUGCACCACUCUAGUUCUUGUUCACCGUGCUCCGUUUUUCAUUUAUCAAUUCUGAUUUUAGUAAAGUUUCCAUUUGUUUGGAUUGUGAGAUUGGCUUUGGAUGUGAUCUUUUUCAAUUAUCUCCAUGACAUAAUUUUGGGUUUAUCUGUAAAUUUGUUUUAUGGCUAAAAUCUAAUUUAAUCAAUCUUGAAUAUCAUUUUUAAUCAUGUUUAGGCGGAUAUUUAUGUCGAAUACGAAGUGGAGUGAGAGCUACAAUCAGCACAGUAUAUUUUACGUUGAAAAAGAAAAUUAUAUAGCUUUGGUAUAUCUACCUUAUUGCUCUAUUUCUAGUUCUGAUAUGAGUUUGAGAUACAGUUUUAAGAUAAUAAUACGUCACCAAAGGCAUAUACUCACAAACACACAUAAACAUACAAAAAAGUCUUGGAUACACAUUAUUGUGUGCUAUGGGUUAUAGGCUAACAUAAACUAUUAUAGACACUUACAGUUGGCAAAAAAUCAGUAUUUUACGAGUUAAUGCGUAGUAAUUUUCUUUUAUAGUUUUCUUUUAUCUUUAUUGCUCAGAUUCCAGUUUAGUGUUAUUUUAAAUUAUGUAUUAUCAAAUUAACAAAUUUGUGGGGAGAAGCUGUAAAAAUAAUUUGUUAUUGUAAAAAGGGAUGGAACACUUGUGCCAUGGUAGUCCAUUGAUGCUAACGGAGAUGGCUAUUGAAGAUGAAGUCUUGUGUCAAGGAUGUGGGAAGACCAUUUCAGGUCAGAGCUACGGUUGCAGUGAGCAUAAGUUUUAUCUGCAUAAAUCCUGUGCUGAGCUUCCCUUAAAGAUUAAGAGCAUCUUCCACUUAAAGUCGCCUUACUCUGCAUAAGGAUUACACUAAGGAUAGUGAAAAAAGUUGUAUAUGUUAUUGUUGUAAGAAACAUAUACCAGGUUUCAGAUACAGUUGUGACAAUUGUNNNNN
Molecule: long non-coding RNA, 1356 nt
Filed under: Carica papaya (papaya)
Lineage: Eukaryota; Viridiplantae; Streptophyta; Magnoliopsida; Brassicales; Caricaceae
Description: long non-coding RNA (CPAP_LNC002865)
Source: RNAcentral